UACGUAGGGGGCGAGCGUUGUCCGGAUUUAUUGGGCGUAAAGAGCGUGUAGGCGGUUCGGUAAGUCUGUCGUGAAAUCCUGAGGCUCAACCUCGGGCGUGCGAUGGAUUCUGCCGGGCUAGAGGAUGGUAGAGGCGAGUGGAAUUCCCGGUGUAGCGGUGAAAUGCGCAGAUAUCGGGAGGAACACCAGUAGCGAAGGCGGCUCGCUGGGCCAUUCCUGGCGCUGAGACGCGAAAGCUAGGGGAGCGAACAGG
This 253-nucleotide ribosomal RNA is filed under the name uncultured bacterium. RNAcentral describes it as "partial 16S ribosomal RNA". It matches the Rfam family "Bacterial small subunit ribosomal RNA", at positions 524 to 776 of the family's 1533-position model. The record is from RNAcentral.